AACUGGGGCUAAACUGUGUUCUUCAGAUCCUUCAGUAUGACAUGUGGAACGUCACCCCCUCUGACCUCUGGGACUGGAAGGCUUUGAAGGAGAAGAUUGCCAAGUACGGUGUCAGGAACAGCCUCCUCCUUUCCCCCAUGCCAACUGCCUCCACUGCCCAGAUCCUGGGCAACAACGAGUCCAUCGAGCCCUACACCAGCAACAUCUACACACGCAGGGUCCUCUCGGGGGAGUUCCAGGU
Empidonax traillii (willow flycatcher) is the source of this 241-nucleotide long non-coding RNA. RefSeq lists it as uncharacterized. Lineage: Eukaryota; Metazoa; Chordata; Aves; Passeriformes; Tyrannidae. The transcript has 2 exons. The record is from RefSeq and is a predicted model, not a curated record.